AAUUCUCAACCUCCCCAAUUUCUUGGGGAAGGCUUGGACUUUGGAGGCUUUUGCUGGUCUCUCUUAUUUUGAAGCCAGCUCCUCUUAAACGAAUUAGUGGGGUCCCUCUUUGCCGGUCCCUUAGACGUUAUAAGAUUUCUUUACGUCCGAGGUUUGGCUCUGUAGCCCCGCUUCUAAUAAGGGGUCUCUUCCUUGAGACGCCACUUUUUGAACC
This 214-nucleotide unclassified non-coding RNA is filed under the name uncultured Lactifluus. Its description in RNAcentral is "sequence contains ITS2". The record is from RNAcentral. Lineage: Eukaryota; Fungi; Basidiomycota; Agaricomycetes; Russulales; Russulaceae.